CAGCCGCCGCGGGAAUACGAAGGGUGCAAGCGUUACUCGGAAUUACUGGGCGUAAAGCGUGCGUAGGUGGUGGUUUAAGUCCGUUGUGAAAGCCCUGGGCUCAACCUGGGAAUUGCAGUGGAUACUGGGUCACUAGAGUGUGGUAGAGGAUAGUGGAAUUUCCGGUGUAGCAGUGAAAUGCGUAGAGAUCGGAAGGAACAUCUGUGGCGAAGGCGACUAUCUGGGCCAACACUGACACUGAGGCACGAAAGCGUGGGGAGCAAACAGGAUUAGAUACCCGGGUAGUCCCUGUCUCUUAUAA
RNAcentral lists this ribosomal RNA (301 nucleotides) under uncultured bacterium. RNAcentral describes it as "partial 16S ribosomal RNA". It matches the Rfam family "Bacterial small subunit ribosomal RNA", at positions 509 to 809 of the family's 1533-position model. The record is from RNAcentral.